CUUGUUCAGCCAUGUUAUUAAAAUCAAGUUCACAAUCAGAAUCAAAUAAGUUGUGCAAAUAGUCAGAAUCAGAAUCGCUAAUGGGUAGUGAACUAGUGCUAGCUUGAUUUGCUCUACGGCGUGCGUGCAAGGCUCUCUCUAUCUCAGGAUCAAAAUCAAAAAGAUCAGAACAACCAGACUUAGUAGCCAGAACUAAUGUAGCAACAAAUGUGAAAAU
This 217-nucleotide long non-coding RNA is filed under the name Lathyrus oleraceus (garden pea). RNAcentral's name for it is "Pisum sativum (pea) long non-coding RNA (PSAT_LNC009551)". Lineage: Eukaryota; Viridiplantae; Streptophyta; Magnoliopsida; Fabales; Fabaceae. The record is from RNAcentral.